AACAAACGCUGGCGGCGUGCUUCAUACAUGCAAGUCGAACGAGAAAGUCCUGCUUCGGCGGGAUGAGUAAAGUGGCGAACGGGUGAGUAACACGUGGAUAACCUGCCUCGAAGUUGGGGAUAAGCUCCCGAAAGGGGGUCUAAUACCGAAUGAUAUCCUUAAAGGGCAUCUUUUAAGGAUCAAAGGCCCGCAAGGGUCGCUUUGAGAUGGAUCCGCGCUCCAUUAGCUUGUUGGUGAGGUAAAAGCUCACCAAGGCUACGAUGGAUAGCCGGCCUGAGAGGGUGUACGGCCACACUGGGACUGAGAUACGGCCCAGACUCCUACGGGAGGCAGCAGUAGGGAAUAUUGCGCAAUGCCCGAAAGGGUGACGCAGCAACGCCGCGUGGGUGAUGAAGCUUUUCGGAGUGUAAAGCCCUGUCAGAGGGGAAGAAAAUUUGCCCGAUUCGUCGGGCAGACUGACGGUACCUUCAGAGGAAGCUCCGGCCAACUCCGUGCCAGCGGCCGCGGUAAUACGGGGGGAGCAAGCGUUGUUCGGAAUUACUGGGCGUAAAGGGUGCGCAGGCGGGUUGGUAAGUCAGACGUGAAAACUCCGGGCUCAACCCGGAGCGUGCGUUUGAAACUGCCUACCUUGAGUACGGGAGAGGGAAGUGGAAUUCCUGGUGUAGCGGUGAAAUGCGUAGAUAUCAGGAAGAACUCCGGUGGCGAAAGGCGGCUUCCUGGCCCGAUACUGACGCUGAGGCACGAAAGCUAGGGUAGCAAACAGGAUUAGAUACCCUGGUAGUCCUAGCCGUAAACGAUGGGCACUAGGUGUUGGAGGAUCGGCCCCUUCAGUGCCGCAGUUAACGCAUUAAGUGCCCCGCCUGGGGAGUACGACCGCAAGGUUGAAACUCAAAGGAAUUGACGGGGGCCCGCACAAGCGGUGGAGCAUGUGGUUUAAUUCGACGCAACGCGAAGAACCUUACCUGGGCUUGACAUUCCGAGGAAAGCCUCAGAGAUGAGGCCCCCCAGCAAUGGGUCUCGGAACAGGUGCUGCAUGGCUGUCGUCAGCUCGUGCCGUGAGGUGUUGGGUUAAGUCCCGCAACGAGCGCAACCCCUGCCCUUAGUUGCCACCUCCCCUUUUUGGGGGGAGCACUCUAAGGGGACUGCCAGUGAUAAGCUGGAGGAAGGUGGGGAUGACGUCAAGUCCUCAUGGCCCUUACGUCCAGGGCUACACACGUGCUACAAUGGUCGGCAUAGCGGGCUGCAAUACCGCAAGGUGGAGCUAAUCCCUAAAGCCGGCCUCAGUUCAGAUUGGAGUCUGCAACUCGACUCCAUGAAGGAGGAAUCGCUAGUAAUCGCGGAUCAGCAGGUCGCGGUGAAUACGUUCCCGGGCCUUGUACACACCGCCCGUCAAGUCAUAGAAGUUGGUAGUACCCGAAGUCGCCGAUCCAACCCGCAAGGGAGGUAGGUGCCGAAGGUAAAACCAAUGACUGGGACU
RNAcentral lists this ribosomal RNA (1477 nucleotides) under uncultured bacterium. Its description in RNAcentral is "bacterial SSU rRNA". It matches the Rfam family "Bacterial small subunit ribosomal RNA". The record is from RNAcentral.